This 376-nucleotide ribosomal RNA is filed under the name uncultured bacterium. RNAcentral's name for it is "bacterial SSU rRNA". It matches the Rfam family "Bacterial small subunit ribosomal RNA", at positions 524 to 898 of the family's 1533-position model. The record is from RNAcentral.
UACGUAGGUGGCGAGCGUUGUCCGGAAUUACUGGGUGUAAAGGGCGUGUAGGCGGGGCGUCAAGUCAGGUGUGAAAUUCCGAGGCUUAACUUCGGGUGUGCACCUGAAACUGAUGUUCUUGAGUGUCGGAGAGGAAAGUGGAAUUCCCAGUGUAGCGGUGAAAUGCGUAGAGAUUGGGAGGAACACCAGUGGCGAAGGCGGCUUUCUGGACGACAACUGACGCUGAGGCGCGAAAGCGUGGGUAGCAAACAGGAUUAGAUACCCUGGUAGUCCACGCCGUAAACGAUGGAUACUAGGUGUAGGAGGUAUCGACCCCUUCUGUGCCGGAGUUAACACAAUAAGUAUCCCACCUGGGGAGUACGGCCGCAAGGCUGAA